CCGGCGCCUCCGGCCCACCUGGCAGCUCCCGGCGUGGUGGCGCCUUGAGCGCCUGCGGCUGCUGCCCGCGCCGGGCCCCGAGGAGCAGGCCCUGCGCCCGGAGCACGCGAGAAGCUCCACUUCUGCGAGGACGACGCGGCGCAGCUGUGCGCGCUGUGCGGGGAGGCGCGGGAGCACCGUGCGCAUCGCGGGCGCCGCCUGGAGGCCGCCGUAGUGCUUGUUUGGUUUUUCCUGGGUGUUCUCUGUUACUUCCUUGCGCAGGUCACAUGGGACCUGAAUACGUGCUCCUUGAAUGAGCGGAUGAAAGAAAUGAACAAAUUCAGAAGAUUCUUGAAUGUCUGAGGAAAGAGAGAGGAGAUUCAAGGAAUCCGGGCAAGAGAGAGUCAGAGACUCCACGUCCUCCUGGUGGUCAGCUUCCCUGCCCCUCCCUCCAUCAGGGGCGAGAGCACACUGGGCCUUGAGACCAUUCUGGGCCUGAGUCCUGACUUCAGCCUUAUGAACCAGAUGACCUCAAGCAACUCACUUACCUCAGUUUACCUGUCUAUGAAAUAGAGAUUAAAAAUAAUCAUACUCCUCCAACUGUUGUAGUGAAUGGGUGAGUCUGUGUCUUGGAGAAGCUGAGAGCUGUGUGCCUGGCCUGCACUUGUAAAAGGCAGGUAG
This 660-nucleotide long non-coding RNA is filed under the name Dasypus novemcinctus (nine-banded armadillo). RNAcentral's name for it is "lncRNA (ENSDNOG00000051757.1)". The record is from RNAcentral. Lineage: Eukaryota; Metazoa; Chordata; Mammalia; Cingulata; Dasypodidae.